RNAcentral lists this ribosomal RNA (253 nucleotides) under uncultured bacterium. RNAcentral's name for it is "partial 16S ribosomal RNA". It matches the Rfam family "Bacterial small subunit ribosomal RNA", at positions 524 to 776 of the family's 1533-position model. The record is from RNAcentral.
UACGUAGGUGGCAAGCGUUGUCCGGAAUUAUUGGGCGUAAAGCGCGCGCAGGCGGUCCUUUAAGUCUGAUGUGAAAGCCCGCGGCUCAACCGUGGAGGGUCAUUGGAAACUGGGGGACUUGAGUACAGAAGAGGAAAGCGGAAUUCCACGUGUAGCGGUGAAAUGCGUAGAGAUGUGGAGGAACACCAGUGGCGAAGGCGGCUUUCUGGUCUGUAACUGACGCUGAGGCGCGAAAGCGUGGGGAGCAAACAGG